AUUGAACGCUGGCGGCAUGCCUUACACAUGCAAGUCGAACGGUAACGGGCCUUCGGGUGCCGACGAGUGGCGAACGGGUGAGUAAUACAUCGGAACGUGCCCGAUCGUGGGGGAUAACGAGGCGAAAGCUUUGCUAAUACCGCAUACGAUCUACGGAUGAAAGCAGGGGACCGCAAGGCCUUGCGCGGACGGAGCGGCCGAUGGCAGAUUAGGUAGUUGGUGGGAUAAAAGCUUACCAAGCCGUCGAUCUGUAGCUGGUCUGAGAGGAUGAUCAGCCACACUGGGACUGAGACACGGCCCAGACUCCUACGGGAGGCAGCAGUGGGGAAUUUUGGACAAUGGGCGCAAGCCUGAUCCAGCCAUGCCGCGUGCAGGAUGAAGGCCUUCGGGUUGUAAACUGCUUUUGUACGGAACGAAAAGCCUUCUUUUAAUACAGGAGGGUCAUGACGGUACCGUAAGAAUAAGCACCGGCUAACUACGUG
RNAcentral lists this ribosomal RNA (482 nucleotides) under uncultured bacterium. RNAcentral describes it as "partial 16S ribosomal RNA". It matches the Rfam family "Bacterial small subunit ribosomal RNA", at positions 30 to 507 of the family's 1533-position model. The record is from RNAcentral.